This 253-nucleotide ribosomal RNA is filed under the name uncultured bacterium. RNAcentral describes it as "partial 16S ribosomal RNA". It matches the Rfam family "Bacterial small subunit ribosomal RNA", at positions 524 to 776 of the family's 1533-position model. The record is from RNAcentral.
UACAGAGGAUGCAAGCGUUAUCCGGAAUGAUUGGGCGUAAAGCGUCUGUAGGUGGCUUUUUAAGUCCGCCAUCAAAUCCCAGGGCUCAACUCUGGACAGGCGGUGGAAACUACCAAGCUAAAGUACGAUAAGGGCAGAGGGAAUUUCCGGUGGAGCGGUGAAAUGCGUAGAGAUCGGAAAGAACACCUGUGGCGAAGGCGGUCUGCUGGGCAGUUGCUGACACUGAGGCGCGACAGCGUGGGGAGCAAACAGG